AUGAUUAACUCUGAUAACAUGGAAGUUAUUGACACGAUGAAGAAUAGAGGACAUUCUGCAAGAGUGGCGGCGGCAGUUUUUGAUGAUUGUUGUUUUAUGGCAGGUGAUUUUUCUUUUACUAGUUUUGAACAUUGUAAUAGGGAAGCAAAUAAAAUAGCUCAUGAACUUGCUAGGUUCGUGAAAUGUUCCAUGACAAAGGAUUGGUUCGAGGAGCCUAUGGAAAUUGUACCUCUUCUUAUAGACAAUGUAACCAUUGUUUCUAAUUAA
This 267-nucleotide ribosomal RNA is filed under the name Triticum aestivum (bread wheat). RNAcentral describes it as "partial small subunit ribosomal RNA". The record is from RNAcentral. Lineage: Eukaryota; Viridiplantae; Streptophyta; Magnoliopsida; Poales; Poaceae.